UACGGAGGGUGCAAGCGUUUGUCCGGAUUCAUUGGGUUUAAAGGGUGCGCAGGCGGGACAUUAAGUCAGGGGUGAAAGACGGUUGCUCAACAAUCGCAGUGCCUUUGAUACUGGUGUUCUUGGGUGACCUUGAGGUAGGCGGAAUGGGUGGUGUAGCGGUGAAAUGCAUAGAUACCACCCAGAACUUCGAUUGCGAAGGCAGCCUACUGGAGGUUUACCGACGCUCAGGCACGAAAAGCGUGGGGAUCAAACAGG
This 255-nucleotide ribosomal RNA is filed under the name uncultured bacterium. RNAcentral's name for it is "partial 16S ribosomal RNA". It matches the Rfam family "Bacterial small subunit ribosomal RNA", at positions 524 to 776 of the family's 1533-position model. The record is from RNAcentral.